GAGAUCCCUCAGGAGACCAUCCGCCACCUCAUCAGGAGCAUGCCCAGGCAUUGUAGGGAAGUCAUACAGGCACGUAGAGGCCACACACACUACUGAGCCUCAUUUUGACUUGUUUUAAGGACAUUACAUCAAAGUUGGAUCAGCCUGUAGUGUGGUUUUCCACUUUAAUUUUGAGUGUGACUCCAAAUCCAGACCUCCAUGGGUUGAUAAAUUGGAUUUCCAUUGAUUAUUUUUGUGUGAUUUUUGUUGUCAACACAUUCAACUAUGUAAAGAAAAAAGUAUUUAAUAAGAUUAUUUCUUUCAUUCAGAUCUAGGAUGUGUUGUUUAAGUGUUCCCUUUAUUUUUUUGAGCAGUAUGUGUAUAUAUAUAUAUUUGUAUAUAUACAGUACGAGUCAAAGUUUGGACACCUAUCAUUCAAGUGUUUUUCUUUAUUUUUACUAUUUUCUAAAUUGUAGAAUAAUAGUGAAGACAUCAGAACUAUGAAAUAACAAUGUAAAAAUAAAGAAAAACCCUUGAAUGAGUAGGUGUAUCAACUUUUGACUGGUACUGUAUAUUGACUUUUUCCACAUUUUGUUACGUUACAGCCUUCAAUUCUAAAAUUGAUUAAAUAAAAACAUUUCCUCAGCGAUCUACAGACAAUACCCCAUAAUGACAAAGCCAAAAUGAGUUUUUAGAAAUGUUUGCAAAUGUAUAAAAACUAAAUAAAUGAAAUACCUUAUUUACAUAAGUAUUCAAACCCUUUGCUAUGAGACUCAAAAUUGAGCUCAGAUGCAUCCUGUUUCCAUUGAUCAUCCUUGAGAUGUUUCUACAACUUGAUUGGAGUCCACCUGUGGUAAAUUCAAUUGAUUGGACAUGAUUUGGAAAGGCACACACCUGUCUAUAUAAGGUCCCACAGUUGACAGUGCAUGUCAGAGCAAAAACCAAGCCAUGAGGUUGAAGGAAUUGUCCGUAGAGCUUCAAACAGGAUUGUGUCGAGGCACAGAUCUGGGGAAGGGAACCAAAAAAUGUCUGCAGCAUUGAAGGUUCCCAAGAGACACAGUGGCCUCCAUCAUUCUUAAAUGGAAGAAGUUUAGAACCACCAAGACUCUUUCUAGACCUUUCCGCCCAGCCAAACUGAGGGAGGUGACCAAGAACCUGAUGGUCAUUCUGACAGAGCUCUAGAGUUCCUUUGUGGAGAUGGGAGAACCUUCCAGAAGGACAACUAUCUCUGCAGCACUCCACUAAUCAGGCCUUUAUGGUAGAGUGGCCAGACGGAAGCCACUCCUCAGUAAAAGGAACAUGACAGCCUGUUUGGAGUUAGCCAAAAGGCACCUAAGAAACACCUGAGAAACAAGAUUCUCUGGUCUGAUGAAACCAAGAUUGAACUCUUUGGCCUAAAUGCCAAGCGUCACGUCUAGAAAAAACCUGGCACCAUCCCUACGGUGAAGCAUGGUGGUGGUAGCAUCAUGCUGUGGGGAUGUUUUUCAGCGCAGGAGACGAGUCAGGAUCAAGGCAAAGAUGAGAGAUCCUUGAUGAAAACCUGCUCCAGAGCGCUCAGGACCUGACUGGGGUGAAGGUUCACCUUCCAACAGGACAAUGACCUUAAGCACACAGCCAAGACAAUGCAGGAGUGGCUUCGGGACAAGUCUCUGAAUGUCCUUGAGGCCCAGCCAGAGCCUGGACUUGAACCCGAUCGAACAUAUCUGGAGACCUGAAAAUAGCUGUGCAGCUACGCUCCCCAUCCAACCUGACAGAGCUUGAGAGGAUCUGCAGAGAAGAAUGGGAGCAACUCCUCAAAUACAGGUGUACCAAGCUUGUAGCGUCACACACAAGAAGACUCAAGGCUGUAAUCGCUGCCAAAGGUGCUUCAACAGAGUGCUGAGUAAAGGGUCUGAAUACUUAUGUAAAUGUGAUAUUUUUGAACACCUCUUUUUGCAUCAUCAUUAUGGGGUAUUGUGUGUAAAUUGAUGAGGGGAAAACUUUUUUUAUAUAUAUAUAUAUAUAUAUUAGAUCCUGAAAUGGACACAAUUCAGUCAGUAACACAUUUUGAAUAGUUUUAUUUUCCCAUAAUUGAGUGCAUUUGUAAACAACCAUACAAACACUGCCUUUUUUAUUUCGUAAUUAAAACAAACUAUCGUUACAUUUUUUUUUACAAGCACGCAUAUUGAAGUUGGAACAUUGGAACUCUCCCUGGCUCAGUGUUUUAAUGUGUUUCUGAAAAUAACAAGACUGAAAGUAAGAACUCACCCAACUCAGCAACAUAGAAAUGUGUACAGCAAUAUAUAAUUUAACAAUGACUCGUUGGCAGAACAGUUCUCUUGCAGAGGACAUUUUAUUCUCAUUGGACUAGCCUACUUCAAGAUCAAACUGAAGGUCAAAUAAAAAAUACUCAGUCACCAUUUGAAGGAAUUCACCAUUCAGAGAAAUGUUUGGGGUUGUUUUUAUACCACUGAAAGACUGAAGUAGUCUACUGUAUCUCCUCUUCCUUCUCACCAGAGGGACAUAUGAGUUUAAAGAUAUCUAUUCAGAUCCAGGUCAUCAACGAUCCUAGUUAAAUAACAAUGCCUAGUUAAAUACAGGUAAAACAACAACAAUGGCAUCGUUCAGGUCUAAUUACUCUGUCACUACAAUGAACUAAUGAUUGGGGGAGGGGGCGGUAAUCAUUUGCUAAUUAUUGACAGUGGGAAAGUAUUAAUUGUAUGAUGUCUCAAUAGAUCGAAAAUGAGUACAAAUUGUGGAGAGGCAAACUUUCUGUUGUAUACCAUCCUGUGUCUUUUGCAGGGGGAGUAUACAGUAUAUUCAACAGCCAAUUAUAGCUCUAGUAAGAGUCAGUAAACUCCAGACCGACAGACUUUUUGAAAAUGUUUUUUUAGGCGUGUUUGGCAUGCAGUUCAGUCAUGGGCAAAAUCGCCUUUGACAUUUGAAAGACUUUUUGAUUGAUAUUGACAUAUCAAAGCAGAGAAACUGCCAUGUUCUGCAGAGGUUGUAAAAACACUGACUGCAUUUUAAAGGCAAAACACAAAAUUAGCUACAAAACAUCUGUUUAGGUCUAUGCAUGCAGUCUUCAAUUUAGUCAAAACAUCAUGAUUUAACAAAUGUAAUUCCAAUUUACCAAACCUUCUCAAAUGUCAAAAAUAAACAAUUUGGGAGAAUGUUAGACGAAUGCUGCUUUUAAUCCAAGGUUAUUCUAGCAUGCUAGGCAAUAGAUGCCUGAAUGUCCAGCUUCAAGAUCCAUAUGGUCUCUGCCUGUUUGGGAAUGCUUGUGUGGAUCCAAAAGAAACCCUAUCAAAACCCUGGUCACAUGUGAGUUAUAGGGAUCCAUAACCCUCGUGACAGGUGAGUUAUAGGGCUGCAUAACCCUCGUGACAGGUGAGUUAUAGGGCUCCAUAACCCUCGUGACAGGUGAGUUAUAGGGAUCCAUAAGCCUUGUGACAGGUGAGUUAUAGGGAUCCAUAACCCUCGUGAUAGGUGAGUUAUAGGGAUCCAUAACCCUCGUGACAGGUGAGUUAUAGGGCUGCAUAACCCUCGUGACAGGUGAGUUAUAGGGAUCCAUAAGCCUCGUGACAGGUGAGUUAUAGGGCUGCAUACUGAAUUCUGAGGGCAUGUUCCAUAUCUCUACCUCGAGGUGACAAGACACACACUUUGUUUUAGCAAUCAUACACACACGCACACACAUCCCUCUGUGUCUCCCGGUUCUCUCUCCAGACAUCUCAGUCGAUCCCAGGGGAGAGCAAUCCGUCACCGAGCUACUUUCUUUUGAAAGAGGAAAACAUCUCCAAUUGAACGCUGGAUUCAGGCUUCUUUGUGUCAACCCCAUCAUAUUGUAGGCCUCUUGAAACUGAUCACAGUCAAUAUACAGUAUCAAUGGUCAAUUGAUUGAUUAUAAAUGUGUGUUAUAUGUAUUGAGCUGCAGAUUAUCAGUUUGUCUAUUUGUCAAUGGAAAGGCCAAAUCAGAAUCAUAAAAAAAGCCUAAGCCAUCAUGUUAAGAAGGCCGUCAUGUUAAGAAGGCCAUCAUGUUAAGAAGGCCAUCAUGUUAAGAAGGCCAUCAUGUUAAGAAGGCCAUCAUGUUAAGAAGGCCGUCAUGUUAAGAAGGCCAUCAUGUUAAGAAGGCCGUCAUGUUAAGAAGGCCAUCAUGUUAAGAAGGCCAUCAUGUUAAGAAGGCCAUCAUGUUAAGAAGGCCGUCAUGUUAAGAAGGCCAUCAUGUUAAGAAGGCCAUCAUGUUAAGAAGGCUGUCACGAGGCUUACAAGGCAUGGUUCAUGACUCCAGUCUUUAGUAUCUUUACGAUUUUAGUAGACAGAAACCCACGUCUGCAGCGCGCUAACAAUUCAGUGCCUCAGAGCGUCUAAAAAAUAGGUUACCCUUUUCAAAUGUGAAUUUGUAGUUCUUUUGGACAGUGAAGCGAGAUGAAAAGCAGCAGUAGUAGGUGUUGUUUCGCUGUCAUCUCGCCCAGCUAACCUACUUCCUGGGACUCUUCAAGCUCCCUGUAGUCUCUUCAUCAGCAGGAACACAAAAAUACAUUUUUGUCACAACAGACAACUUUGUCUUGCCAGAAACUCAUGAAUAUUCAUCUACAAAUGAAGACUUCUGAAAGGUGUCGCAAACAGAAAACGUCCUGAUGAAGCCUCUGGGGACAUGGAGGAAAUGGGUAGAACUUUCAGAAGGUGAUCCACCCUGUUAAACUUGUAUGGAUACCAGUCUGUUUCUGUGCUCUUGCCAACUCCUUGUGGAAUUGUCACGACAGCAAUGGAGUUGCGAAAAGCA
This 4741-nucleotide long non-coding RNA is filed under the name Salmo salar (Atlantic salmon). RNAcentral's name for it is "lncRNA (ENSSSAG00000104332.1)". The record is from RNAcentral. Lineage: Eukaryota; Metazoa; Chordata; Actinopteri; Salmoniformes; Salmonidae.